UUGCUCAGUUUGGCAGCACAUAUACUAAAAAAUUGGAAUGAUACAGAGAAGAUUAGCAUGGCCCCUGCACAAGUAUGUCACACAAAUUUGUGACGCAUUUUAAUAGAUU
Molecule: small nuclear RNA, 109 nt
Filed under: Microcebus murinus (gray mouse lemur)
Lineage: Eukaryota; Metazoa; Chordata; Mammalia; Primates; Cheirogaleidae
Source: RNAcentral